RNAcentral lists this microRNA (21 nucleotides) under Rosa chinensis. RNAcentral's name for it is "sRNA RchiOBHm_Chr7g0185605". The record is from RNAcentral. Lineage: Eukaryota; Viridiplantae; Streptophyta; Magnoliopsida; Rosales; Rosaceae.
AGAAAAUUGGACUGAUUGUUU